UUCUAACCUCACUAGAUUAAUUUAUACAUUCUCUCUCUCUCUCUCUCUCUCUCUCUCUCUGUUUGCAGAAUUGAAACAGGUGCAUUUUGACCAUAACUCUCCAUCAUUCAAACCUGCUGUAUUCCUCACAUUCUCAUGGGAAUACCUGCUGCUGGAUUCACACAGCAUAUUCUCUGAACCACAGUGGACCGUUCCUCCCUCCAUGCCUCAUAGAACUUAUUUCAAAUGUUGCAAAAAAUGAAAGCAGACGGCAGAAAGAGUGCAGCUACAAUUAAUUCAUGACUACUGCAGACCGAUCACUCAUGUAUUACGGGCUCCUGGGGUUUGGCCUUCAAAGGCGCAGAAUUACUCAGUGGGAGAGCUUUUGAUAAUGCAAGCUGAAAAUUUUUCUGUAAAGAUGGAUAAUUGAAAAUGUCUUGAUACUGUGCGCACAAAUUUCGUGCACUAUGUCUGCCCCAAUAAUAACAACUUGAGUUCCUCAUGCUUUGUUUAAUUGUGCCCUGUUUUAGUUUAGUGCUCCACCCACAUCCUACUCUAGUAAAGCAAUAAGAUGUGUGACAUCAGCAGUGGAAUUCUGAGAUACGGGAAAUGAAAAGACUUCUUUAAUCAGAUAAAGUCAUUCCUCCUGAUAACAUCGCAUCUGGAGGAGUCCUGACAGCGCUGCCAGCCGACAUUGGAUUGUGGGGCCAGACAGCAAAAAUGAGCCUCUAGAUUUGAUCUUUUACCCACCCAGCCUUUGAAGAGAUUAUGAGCACAUGGACAAGAUUUUCCUCAACUGCGUUUCUGUAGAGAAGACAAGCAGUCAGAAUUCCAGAUGUCAUUGAGUUGGCCUGAACAUAGAGAAUGACACAUCAGCAGUGAAGAUUUCAACUAAAUUUUGCAUGUGAAGCUGAAAGACCAGCAGGUAAUGCUACUCAAGAUGUUCUGAGGUGUAGCUGGAGGCAUGUCAGAAGGAAGUUAGAAGAGAGGUGAUUAUGGUGCAUGUAAACUUUUGAAAUACCCUGCCUUGAGAACAUCUAGACACACUAAGAACUCUUUUAAUAUGUUCACUACCAGUUUCUACAUCAAAAACAUUAGCCUCCAGCCCCCAUCAUUAUCACAACAACAAAAAGAAAAGAAGAGAAGAGAAUAGAACAAAUAACUGAAAAGAGCUCAGCAGGAAAACUAUUCUUGGCUAGACUUCAUGUUGCUAAAAUGGGUCCGUGAUAAAUGCAUUUCAGCAAAAGAAAGGCAUCGAUCCAUGAGAAAUUACCCAUAUAAAGGAAUUAGACUUCCUUGGAAAAAUGUUCCAACUUCAUCUCAGCUGUGUGAGUGCUUUUUCAAUUGUCCAGAGAUAACUUGCCAAGAGAAGUAGCAUAGAAAUGUCAUGGAACCGUGACAAUACCUGCUUAGUACAGAAAGGAAGUUGAACAGCUUACUUCGCAGCGACUUCAACCCCUUCCCGCUGGAUGCGUUCUGGCUCGAUAUCCCCAAAUUUCCCGCACACCGAAUGUCUUGGGCGAGUGCCAGAUUACUGUUUUGUCAGUUGCUGGGAAAGGCUCCAAGACAGCAGAUCUGCUGUUUGUAUACUUUCUGAACUCAUCAUCAUUCCCAGGUCUCCAUAUGGAGUAUGGGAUCACUGA
Long non-coding RNA from Megalobrama amblycephala (Wuchang bream), 1622 nucleotides. RefSeq lists it as uncharacterized. The record is from RefSeq and is a predicted model, not a curated record. The transcript is spliced from 3 exons. Lineage: Eukaryota; Metazoa; Chordata; Actinopteri; Cypriniformes; Xenocyprididae.